GUGCUGUGAUCGGCCAUGACGGCGGGCCCGGCGGGGUUGUUGACCCGGAUGCCCGCCAUCCGGAGGCUGCCGGCGAUCUUCGCCCCGUACAGCUUG
Molecule: transfer RNA, 96 nt
Filed under: Actinoplanes digitatis
Lineage: Bacteria; Bacillati; Actinomycetota; Actinomycetes; Micromonosporales; Micromonosporaceae
Description: tRNA-Asn
Source: RNAcentral